CUUGCUUUCUUUGCUGGCGACCGGCGCACGGGUGGGUAACACGUAUCCAACCUGCCCUUUACUCGGGGAUAGCCUUUCGAAAGAAAGAUUAAUACCCGAUAGUAUAAUGAUCCCGCAUGGUUUCAUUAUUAAAGGAUUCCGGUAAAGGAUGGGGAUGCGUUCCAUUAGGUUGUUGGUGAGGUAACGGCUCACCAAGCCUUCGAUGGAUAGGGGUUCUGAGAGGAAGGUCCCCCACAUUGGAACUGAGACACGGUCCAA
RNAcentral lists this ribosomal RNA (258 nucleotides) under uncultured bacterium. RNAcentral's name for it is "partial 16S ribosomal RNA". It matches the Rfam family "Bacterial small subunit ribosomal RNA", at positions 75 to 334 of the family's 1533-position model. The record is from RNAcentral.